This is a transfer RNA of Pleurotus ostreatus PC15, 73 nucleotides long. It matches the Rfam family "tRNA". From Rfam's summary of the family: Transfer RNA (tRNA) molecules are approximately 80 nucleotides in length. The record is from Rfam. Lineage: Eukaryota; Fungi; Basidiomycota; Agaricomycetes; Agaricales; Pleurotaceae.
GGCGUCUUAGCUCAGCUGGGAGAGCAGCAGACUGAAGAUCUGAAGGUCCCGUGUUCAAGCCACGGAGAUGCCA